GAUGAAGAACGCAGCGAAAUGCGAUACUUGGUGUGAAUUGCAGAAUCCCGUGAACCAUCGAGUCUUUGAACGCAAGUUGCGCCCGAAGCCAUUUGGUUGAGGGCACGUCUGCCUGGGCGUCACAUAUCGUUGCCCGAUGCCUGUUGCACUGUGAUAGGAAAUUCUAGGGCGAAAGAUGGCUUCCCGUGAGCGUUGUUGCCUCGCGGUUGGUUGAAAAUUGAGUCCUUGGUAGGGUGUGCCAUGAUAGAUGGUGGUCGAGUUUGCACGAGACCGAUCAUGUGUGCGCUCCCCAAAAUAUGGACUCUUUGACCCCACACGCGUCUUUUGACGCUCAUGACGAGACCUCAGGUCAGGCGGGGCUACCCGCUGAGUUUAAGCAUAUCAAUAAGCGGAGGA
Molecule: unclassified non-coding RNA, 396 nt
Filed under: soil metagenome
Description: partial contains 5.8S ribosomal RNA, internal transcribed spacer 2, and large subunit ribosomal RNA
Rfam family: 5.8S ribosomal RNA (bases 1-122)
Source: RNAcentral